Molecule: long non-coding RNA, 1557 nt
Organism: Fukomys damarensis (Damara mole-rat)
Lineage: Eukaryota; Metazoa; Chordata; Mammalia; Rodentia; Bathyergidae
Source: Ensembl
UGGAAGCUGAUGCCCCCGGGGGGAUAUUUUCUCUCUGACACUGAUUGGAGAUAUGGGGACAUUAUGAUAACAAGAGUCUUGUUGUUUAAAACUUCCCAGCCGGGAGCGGCAGAACAUGCCUGUAGACCUGCACUCCGGGCAGCUGAGGCCGGAGGAUCACAAGCUUGUGCCCAUCCUGGCUAACACGGUGACUCAGCCCUGGCACAGGCUCUGCAGCAAGUUCCAUGCACUGCUCAACCCGCUCUUGGGCCUUCCUCACUCUUCUCCCAGCCACCACCACCACUCGCCUGGGUCUGCUUGGAUCAGAGCCUCAGGGAUGCAGGGAGGACCGGCUCAGUUUAGGGUGAAGCAGGCUACAGGGCUCUGUUGGGAUGCUGGCCGCACCUUGGGGACCUCCUCGCAGAUAGAGAAACGGUACAAAGUUCCUGACCAUCCAUCAAAGUGCCUGCCAAGCUGGAAGACCAGCAGCCUGGGACAGUGGCGGCGGGGUUUAGAGGCUACAUCCAGGGCAUCCUGUACCUGAGCCAAGAUGUGCCCAAGGAGCUACUGGGAUUCCCGAGACUCCAACACUUCCCAGUGGGCUCCAAGGCCAGCAGCUGGGGUAUCCUGGGGGAGUUCCUGCCUGGUGAGAGUAGCAGCUCACAGAUGCACCAUCGGCCUGUCAUCGCUUCUUCAGGGACCCCUACAUUCGCGGCCCCUCCCCAGAGCCUCUGUCCGAUGUCGUGUUGAACGGUGUGCCCCAGGCCUCUGUGGACGCAGCGCCAGCCCAGCGAAAGGCUGGCUGUAACCCCGCUCCCUACCACCCAGGCCCCAAUGAAUCCAGGAGCCUCGCGCCACCCAUGAGGAGAGCCAUGAGCCUCUGUCCUAUGAGCGCCACUCAAGGAGCCAAGGCUGGGUCGUCCUUUGGCCUGGACCCAGGACUCUACCGUGCCUGGUCCUGCCAAGUCUCUGAGCUGGGCAUGCCUGGCAGCUGGGGUGGUCUGAGCGCCCAGGGGCCAAGGCAGGGCAAGGAGAUGAGGAAUAAAGGGAAAGACAGUUUAGAGGUAGAUGGGAGACACAGGUACAGAGAGGGGCAGGGGCAGCAAGGUUGAGGCACAGUAGCCGGUGAAGUUUGGCAGCCUGGCGAAAGGGCAAAUGCCCACAGCACAGCGGAAUCCUGAUAUGGGGGAUAAAGACUCGGGAGGGGGACUGCAGACCUAAGGCAGCCCACACACAGGUUAUUAAAAAAGCCCUCUUUUUACUGGUCAGUAACAGUACCAGCGGAUUGUUACAAAACUGGGCCUGCAGAACGUGAGGCAAGUGGUCCGUUCAGUCAGGUGCCAGCACCGGGGCAGUAAAGCACAGAGCCUGGGGCCGGGCUACCUUCACCCUCAUGAGGGCGGCGGGGCUGGCACAGAUGGUGACGUGGAGGGCAGCGGCCCCUAGUGCCCUACUCCUUGGCGAUGGCAGCCUGUGAUGGUCAGGUCCUUCAGGGGCUUGUCCCGGUUGUCUGCCUUGGUGCUGUCCGCCUUCCGCACCACCUCCUGGGAAGGGAAGGCACGUUGGAUGAGGAGGGAG